This is a long non-coding RNA of Uloborus diversus, 903 nucleotides long. RefSeq lists it as uncharacterized. Lineage: Eukaryota; Metazoa; Arthropoda; Arachnida; Araneae; Uloboridae. The record is from RefSeq and is a predicted model, not a curated record. The transcript has 3 exons.
GACGGACCCACCUUAGAAUGGAUGGCCUUUUUUGGAUUUAGCAGGUUUAUUGGAGAACGGUUACGAACUGUGCUCCAAAGAAAGGAAAAUGGCGAAGGUGCACAUUCAGAAAUGUCGAGCUGCGUUUACUUCCGCGCUAGUUUUAUGGAGAGGAAAGUGUAGAAACACUUGGCUGUGAUUGCUACUUGCUGUGUGAAAAGAAAAUGUUCCAUUAGGUAUGGACGCUUUUUUUUUAUUCCACUGUGCGGAUCGUUACUCGUACUGGCGACUUUCCUGAUGCUGCUGACUUUGAAAAUUGCUGCUGGUAUCAUACGAACAGCACCACGAACGAUUAAUUUACAAUGUUAUAUACCAAGUACACCAAAACUGCGCACUUAUACAUCUGUAACAUUUGCGCAGCAUCCUUAUUUUCGAGUCUUGGAGGAAUAUGAAGAGAAGGUAGGUGUUUUAUGCUCGUGAAUGAGGUUAUAAGCAAGACUACCGAGUUGGGACCGAAAGCAGUUUGUUUAAAAGCUUUAUUUUUCAACAGUAAAAUUUGACUUGUUUAAUAGCGUGUGAAAACUGUUGCUGAGAUUUUAUAAAUUUUAGAGCAUUGUUGUAUAUUGAUCCGAAGUAAUAAAUGUGUUAAUAAAGACUUUUGAAAGAAGUUUGAAAUAUGGUGUACCCUACUUUUUGCUGAUACGAAGUUGAAUUCCCUCUGGUUUGCAGAUAUUUAAGACGGAAGGAAUGUUUAGGGGUCCUUCUUCAUAAAGUGUAACUUUUCUGUCACACGCCUUUUACAGUAAAAACCUUAAGGAACAAUUCAUUUGACAAUGAUUUUUAAUUUCAUCAAAAAUAUAUCUAUUUAAACUUGUCAACAAUUUUUUAACAAUAAUUUUUAUUUUAGUAUAUUUUUGGUUCACA